This 254-nucleotide ribosomal RNA is filed under the name uncultured bacterium. Its description in RNAcentral is "partial 16S ribosomal RNA". It matches the Rfam family "Bacterial small subunit ribosomal RNA", at positions 524 to 777 of the family's 1533-position model. The record is from RNAcentral.
UACGGAGGAUCCAAGCGUUAUCCGGAUUUAUUGGGUUUAAAGGGUGCGUAGGCGGCCUAUUAAGUCAGGGGUGAAAGACGGUAGCUUAACUAUCGCAGUGCCUUUGAUACUGAUAGGCUUGAAUGUACUUGAGGUAGGCGGAAUGUGACAAGUAGCGGUGAAAUGCAUAGAUAUGUCACAGAACACCAAUUGCGAAGGCAGCUUACUAAGUAUGAUUGACGCUAGAGGCACGAAAGCGUGGGGAUCAAACAGGA